CUAACAGGCGCGGGCAUUCUCAGUCUUCUUUCAACUCACGCGAUAGCUUGCGGGGGCAAAAAUGACGAAUGUGAUCGAGCGACGUGUACAGACUGAGAGCGUGCGAUCAAGAGCAGUGUAGCACCACUAACAGCACGGACGGUGCUGUUAUGGCGCAAAAGGCAUACGAGAGCCAGAGAGCAACCAUUCCAAUUAGAUGUAGCCGCUGCUCUGUUAUUACUGGACUCAUGUACCUGUGUGGGUCAAGUUCAAAUUGGAGUUGAAACAUCUCGUGUUUUCUGAUUUGAAGCGAAACUCAUUUGAAGAGCACAAACUAAAGUACCUCAUAAAAACAUGCUCUACGAAUUGUUAACAAAUUGUAAUAUUUUUUUAUUUAUUGAUUAACAUUUGAACACACUUAUAACUAUUCAUAACAAUUGAAGUAGAACAUAAUAAUGGUAUAGAUAAAUAAAACAUGAUGUACGCCCA
Molecule: long non-coding RNA, 468 nt
Organism: Drosophila eugracilis
Lineage: Eukaryota; Metazoa; Arthropoda; Insecta; Diptera; Drosophilidae
Exons: 2
Source: RefSeq, a predicted model, not a curated record